UACGUAGGGACCAAGCGUUGUCCGGAAUCAUUGGGCGUAAAGAGCAUGUAGGCGGCUUGUUAAGUCUUGCGUGAAAUCUCGGGGCUCAACCCCGAGCGGUCGUGAGAAACUGGCAGGCUAGAGUGCGGGAGAGGAGAGUGGAAUUCCUGGUGUAGCGGUGAAAUGCGCAGAUAUCAGGAAGAACACCCGUGGCGAAGGCGGCUCUCUGGAACGCAACUGACGCUGAGACGCGAAAGCGUGGGGAGCAAACAGG
Molecule: ribosomal RNA, 253 nt
Filed under: uncultured bacterium
Lineage: Bacteria
Description: partial 16S ribosomal RNA
Rfam family: Bacterial small subunit ribosomal RNA
Source: RNAcentral